GCCGGGGUCGCCUAGCCUGGUAGGGCGCAGGCCUGCUAAGUCUGUUACCGCAAGGUAUCGUGGGUUCGAAUCCCACUCCCGGCACCA
RNAcentral lists this transfer RNA (87 nucleotides) under Candidatus Nitrosopumilus sp. Its description in RNAcentral is "Nitrosopumilus sp. tRNA-Ser". It matches the Rfam family "tRNA". From Rfam's summary of the family: Transfer RNA (tRNA) molecules are approximately 80 nucleotides in length. Lineage: Archaea; Thermoproteati; Nitrososphaerota; Nitrososphaeria; Nitrosopumilales; Nitrosopumilaceae. RNAcentral also lists the same sequence under 2 other names. The record is from RNAcentral.